AUGAACGCUGGCGGCGUGCCUCAUACCUGCAAGUCGAGCGAACAGAUGAGGAGCUUGCUCCUCUGACGUUAGCGGCGGACGGGUGAGUAACACGUGGAUAACCUACCUAUAAGACUGGGAUAACUUCGGGAAACCGGAGCUAAUACCGGAUAAUAUAUUGAACCGCAUGGUUCAAUAGUGAAAGACGGUUUUGCUGUCACUUAUAGAUGGAUCCGCGCCGCAUUAGCUAGUUGGUAAGGUAACGGCUUACCAAGGCAACGAUGCGUAGCCGACCUGAGAGGGUGAUCGGCCACACUGGAACUGAGACACGGUCCAGACUCCUACGGGAGGCAGCAGUAGGGAAUCUUCCGCAAUGGGCGAAAGCUUGACGGAGCAACGCCGCGUGAGUGAUGAAGGUCUUCGGAUCGUAAAACUCUGUUAUUAGGGAAGAACAAAUGUGUAAGUAACUAUGCACGUCUUGACGGUACCUAAUCAGAAAGCCACGGCUAACUACGUG
RNAcentral lists this ribosomal RNA (496 nucleotides) under uncultured bacterium. RNAcentral describes it as "partial 16S ribosomal RNA". It matches the Rfam family "Bacterial small subunit ribosomal RNA", at positions 29 to 507 of the family's 1533-position model. The record is from RNAcentral.